This 505-nucleotide ribosomal RNA is filed under the name uncultured bacterium. RNAcentral describes it as "partial 16S ribosomal RNA". It matches the Rfam family "Bacterial small subunit ribosomal RNA", at positions 28 to 507 of the family's 1533-position model. The record is from RNAcentral.
GACGAACGCUGGCGGCGUGCCUAAUACAUGCAAGUAGAACGCACAGUUUAUACCGUAGCUUGCUACACCAUAGACUGUGAGUUGCGAACGGGUGAGUAACGCGUAGGUAACCUGCCUGGUAGCGGGGGAUAACUAUUGGAAACGAUAGCUAAUACCGCAUAAUAUUAAUUAUUGCAUGAUAAUUAAUUGAAAGGUGCAAUUGCACCACUACCAGAUGGACCUGCGUUGUAUUAGCUAGUAGGUGAGGUAACGGCUCACCUAGGCGACGAUACAUAGCCGACCUGAGAGGGUGAUCGGCCCAACUGGGACUGGGACACCGCCCAGACUCCUACGGGAGGCAGCAGUAGGGAAUCUUCGGCAAUGGACGGAAGUCUGACCGAGCAACGCCGCGUGAGUGGAGAAGGUUUUCGGAUCGUAAAGCUCUGUUGUAAGAGAAGAACGGGUGUGAGAGUGGAAAGUUCACACUGUGACGGUAUCUUACCAGAAAGGGACGGCUAACUACGUG